GAAACUUGGAAUGUUAUGACCUGAAGGGACCUCAAGGAUCACAGCACAAUAGGAUUUGAAGAUUCAAAUUAUAUUCUCAAGAAUUCCAGUGCCUGGUGUACUGCUUAUCCCAAGCUUUCACAUGCAUACUCUUAGAAAUGUUGAAGACUGCAGUCCAUAAGGUAUGUGAAAUAAAUGUUAAGGUUCUUCCUGAAAUUUUCCAGCUUGGAAUAUCAUGUAUAUGAAAAUUGACUAAGUUCAGAA
Molecule: long non-coding RNA, 243 nt
Filed under: Sarcophilus harrisii (Tasmanian devil)
Lineage: Eukaryota; Metazoa; Chordata; Mammalia; Dasyuromorphia; Dasyuridae
Description: lncRNA (ENSSHAG00000029306.1)
Source: RNAcentral